Long non-coding RNA from Mauremys reevesii (Reeves's turtle), 406 nucleotides. RefSeq lists it as uncharacterized. The record is from RefSeq and is a predicted model, not a curated record. The transcript has 4 exons. NCBI's taxonomy places the organism in Eukaryota, Metazoa, Chordata, Testudines, Geoemydidae.
GGCUGCAGCAGAACUCCACGGAGAGUGGGGUCAGUCGGCCUCGGACCAUACCCAGAUGUCAGUGACUCAAGUAAACUCUGCAGUACAGAUAUGCCUGGGGAGAGAUUUGAAGGGAGAUCAGGAAUUUUGAAGAAAAUUUAAAUGGAAUUAUUUGCAGAUUACAGAGUAUUUGCAGUUUGUCCCGUGAUGUGAAUCUGAUUCACUGUCCCAAGUUAAAAAAGAUGGGGGAAACUGAGGCACAGGAUGACGGUGGAACAGGGUUCUUUUUCAACAACAAGCCCCCAUUGUAGAAGCCACUGCGCAAACCCAGCUGAUGAUGAUGCUGAGCAGCGUCCCUGUGUUGGGAAACUACAGUUUAAUAUGCAGAACAGACAAAAAGUGGGAGAGGAGAAAAGGUUGAAGGAUG